CCGCCCCCCCCCGGCCCCACCGCUCCGCGGACGCGCAGCGAGGCGCGGCCGAAGCCGCCCCCGUCCUGCUCCGGCGGCCGCUGUCCCCUCGGGGCCGCGCUGCGCUGCUCCCCGCGCAGGGUGGGACGCGGGGACGCCCGGGUACCCCCCUCUCCGCCGCCUCCUCUCCCCUCUUUCUGCCCCCACUAAGGCUCAUCCUGCUGACAGCGAGCCCUGGUCGCUGCCCUCCCGGCGUCGCCGAGAGCCCCGAGCAGAGCCCCGGCUGUCCCCGGGGCCGCUCCCCCCGCCGCAGGUUCAUCUUCGCCGCCCGGCCCCCGACGGGGCGGCCACAGCGCGGCCGCUCCGGGGCUGCCCGUGCCGGUCCCGGCCGCCGUGAGGGGCGGUGGGGCCGGGGGGGUCCCGCUGACCAUUGAACAGGGCGAGGUGGCGAGCGGGGAUUGAAAUUUAGACCUGCUUUGGACUUUGCUUCCUCGCCACCGCGGAAAUGUGCUGACAGCAGCCUUGGCAAAAAUGGGGCUUGCUCGGGCUUUUUUUCUUCCUACUCCCCUCUACCCCCCCCCNCCCCCCCGUUUUGUUUGUUUGUUUUGUUUCGUUGUGUUUUCCUUCCCCCUCGCAAAGCGACCCCGGAGCCUCGCAUUGCCCCACGCCGGGGGCAACUCUCCCGCGGCCCCGACGGCGACCCGCGGCCACCUCCGAGGGGAACGGCGGGGCGCAGCCCACCGGGCCCUGCCUGCAGCCGCGACCCCGCCAGGAAACGUCGCCUCUCCGCCGGCACAGGGCCUGCCGCCCCCGGCCGCCGCCCCCCGCACCGCUGUAACGUCGCAAACGCCCUCGCCUGCAGAAUAAAAACCGAUGCAGAGCAGCCUCGUCUCCCCGACCCUCUGUGCCGCGCCCGUCGGGGGGACAGCGGGGUGGGGGCUGAGGAGAGCCGGACACCGUUUCCCCGGCCCCGACGGACGCGAAAGCGACCCCAGGAGCCUGCGCCCAUGGACGGGGAGGGCGGCGCGAUGCGGCCGGGCAAAACCCAACGCGGCCUCGGCAAUGAGCGGCCCUGGGGAAGGAGAGCCGCGGCCUCCUGCCCUGCCCUGCCCGGCUCUCCGCCGCCGAGCGCUCCCCGGGCCGGGGCAGCGGCGGCCGGGACGCCCCGGGGGGACGGGACGGGACAGGACGGGCC
Long non-coding RNA from Anser cygnoides (Swan goose), 1174 nucleotides. The record is from Ensembl. NCBI's taxonomy places the organism in Eukaryota, Metazoa, Chordata, Aves, Anseriformes, Anatidae.